UAUCAUUAGGAUCUGCAGAUUCCUUCUGGGUGACACUGAUUGCAACAUUAGCAUCUGUAUGAGGUAUUACUCUUCCCACCACCGUGGCGGACAACCCGAUAGAACUGGUGCAAAGAGGCUUCUGGGAAGACUCAGCCAGUGAAAGUGCUUGUCACAGGAGCCUGAGAACUACAAGGAUCACCCUAAGCGAUGAAGGAUUUACAAACUUGACUCACAAUUCAGAGGGAGCAGCCCAUCACCGUGAAGAAGACAUAUGGCUGCUAAACUGGCUUGACCCACAGCGACAGGAUGGGAAUUUAUUUCUCAUCACUUAGUAAAUCAGGCAACUGAAAGCUCAUUCCAGGGACAGGUUCCAUGCCUUCAACUAGGCUAGCCCCGCCCCUGCCCCGCCCCCGCUCCGCCCCUGUGAGUCCACAACCAUCUGGGUGCUGGGUUUUCAGACACGUGAAGGGGUGGGGCUUCUUGUUCAGACUGCAUUAUUCAAAGAGCCACUAUAUCAUCAUCCAGUGACUGUUGCCCCUCAAUGUUUUUCUGGAACUUGCAACCUGUACAGCCAAACUGCCCUUAAGAAGGCUGAACAUUAACUUGUUAGUAAUUAACUCCUAAUAGGCUACACUAUCCGAGCAUUUGGGAAGGGAACGCCAUCUAAGGCUGAUUAUGGGGGGGAAGGAAAUCACUGGAAGACGAAGCCGUGAUUUAAAUAAUAAAUGGCCAAGUCUACCGCU
Non-coding RNA from Rattus norvegicus (Norway rat), 725 nucleotides. NCBI's taxonomy places the organism in Eukaryota, Metazoa, Chordata, Mammalia, Rodentia, Muridae. The record is from RefSeq and is a predicted model, not a curated record.